RNAcentral lists this ribosomal RNA (120 nucleotides) under Pteropus alecto (black flying fox). Lineage: Eukaryota; Metazoa; Chordata; Mammalia; Chiroptera; Pteropodidae. The record is from RNAcentral.
AAAAAUGAUUAAAAGGGGUCUGAAUGUGCCCGAUCUCAUCUGACUUUGAAAACUAAACAGGGUCGGGCCUGGUUAGUACUUGGAUGGGAGAUCACCUAGGAAGACCAGGUGCUGUAGGCA